Molecule: small RNA, 125 nt
Filed under: Marmota monax (woodchuck)
Lineage: Eukaryota; Metazoa; Chordata; Mammalia; Rodentia; Sciuridae
Source: RNAcentral
GCCGGGCGCAGUGGCGCUCGCCUGUAAUCGCAAUGGCUCGGGAGGCUGAGGCAGGAGGAUCGAAAGUUCAAAGCCAGCCUCACCAACAGUGAGGUGCUAAGCAACUCGGUGAGACCCCGUCUCUA